This 433-nucleotide ribosomal RNA is filed under the name uncultured Eggerthella sp. RNAcentral describes it as "partial 16S ribosomal RNA". It matches the Rfam family "Bacterial small subunit ribosomal RNA", at positions 341 to 792 of the family's 1533-position model. The record is from RNAcentral. Lineage: Bacteria; Bacillati; Actinomycetota; Coriobacteriia; Eggerthellales; Eggerthellaceae.
ACGGGAGGCAGCAGUGGGGAAUUUUGCGCAAUGGGGGAAACCCUGACGCAGCAACGCCGCGUGCGGGAUGAAGGCCUUCGGGUUGUAAACCGCUUUCAGAGGGGAAGAUAGUGACGGUACCCUCACAAGAAGCUCCGGCUAAAUACGUGCCAGCAGCCGCGGUAAUACGUAUGGAGCGAGCGUUAUCCGGAUUCAUUGGGCGUAAAGCGCGCGUAGGCGGCUACUUAAGCAAAACCUCUAAUCUUAGGGCUCAACCUUAAGCUGGGUUUUGAACUGGGUGGCUCGAGUUCGGUAGGGGCAGAUGGAAUUCCCGGUGUAGCGGUGGAAUGCGCAGAUAUCGGGAAGAACACCAAUGGCGAAGGCAGUCUGCUGGGCCGUAACUGACGCUGAGGCGCGAAAGCUAGGGGAGCAAACAGGAUUAGAUACCCUGGUA